CUAAGAAUAUUCCGCAAUGGACGGAAGUCUGACGGAGCGACGCCGCGUGGAUGACGAAGGCCGAAAGGUUGUAAAGUUCUUUUGCUGGGGAAGAAUAACCGCAGGAGGGAAUGCCUGUGGGAUGACAAGAACCGGCGAAUAAGCCCCGGCCAACUACGUGCCAGCAGCCGCGGUAACACGUAGGGGGCGAGCGUUGUUCGGAAUUACUGGGCGUAAAGGGCAUGUAGGCGGCUUGGAAAGCCUGGCGUGAAAGUCUGCAGCUUAACUGCAGGGGUGCGCUGGGAACUGCUGAGCUUGAGUGACGGAGAGGGAGCUGGAAUUCCUGGUGUUGGGGUGAAAUCUGUAGAUAUCAGGAAGAACACCGAUGGCGAAGGCAAGCUCCUGGCCGAUGACUGACGCUGAGGUGCGAAAGUGUGGGGAUCAAACA
This 427-nucleotide ribosomal RNA is filed under the name uncultured bacterium. RNAcentral's name for it is "bacterial SSU rRNA". It matches the Rfam family "Bacterial small subunit ribosomal RNA", at positions 355 to 774 of the family's 1533-position model. The record is from RNAcentral.